AGUAAAAGUCAUGAAGCUGUUCAGCCGUGUUAGCAUGCUGGGUUCAGGGAGUUCUGGACAGAGGAGCAGAUGUGGAUCAGCAUCACUGCGCCUGAUUCUGGGAUGAACGUCUUCAGUUAUGCCCACCAGCUGUAAACCUGUUGUGUCACCAGAGCUGCUCCCGGCUGAAUGGCUGUUUCUGUAAAGGAUCAACCUGCAGACUCUCCAGCACAAGUGUUGGUGGUCAGAGUUCCUAAAGCUGGGAGAUAAUUGCCACGGAUACAAGGCUAAUCUGUGGAUUCUCCAGGCUGUUAAAGCUGGCUGGACGUCAACAUUGAUGGACCUGCAAUCAAACAUAAGUCAGCUGUGUAGGGUGUUUUUU
Molecule: non-coding RNA, 361 nt
Organism: Maylandia zebra (zebra mbuna)
Lineage: Eukaryota; Metazoa; Chordata; Actinopteri; Cichliformes; Cichlidae
Source: RefSeq, a predicted model, not a curated record